GAACGCACCUUGCGCUCCUUGGCAUUCCGAGGAGCAUGCCUGUUUGAGUGUCAUUAAAUUCUCAAUUCCAUCCUCCUUGCAGAGGUUUGGAGUUGGAAAUGGAAGCUUGCUGGCUUCACAGUCAGCUCUUCUGAAACAUAUUAGCGGGGCCUGUGUACGCACGGCUGAAGCUCUGGUAUUGAUGAGUGUCAUAUCAAGCUGCAGACGAGCAAUGUGCCCAGCUUACAGCUGUCUCUGUUGGGACAAUUGACUUGACAAUUUGACCUCAAAUCAGGUAGGACUACCCGCUGAACUUA
This 296-nucleotide unclassified non-coding RNA is filed under the name Pluteus hispidulus. RNAcentral's name for it is "sequence contains 5.8S rRNA gene". The stretch from base 1 to 53 matches the Rfam family "5.8S ribosomal RNA", at positions 102 to 154 of the family's 154-position model. Lineage: Eukaryota; Fungi; Basidiomycota; Agaricomycetes; Agaricales; Pluteaceae. The record is from RNAcentral.